RNAcentral lists this ribosomal RNA (2925 nucleotides) under Escherichia coli. RNAcentral's name for it is "bacterial LSU rRNA". It matches the Rfam family "Bacterial large subunit ribosomal RNA". The record is from RNAcentral. Lineage: Bacteria; Pseudomonadati; Pseudomonadota; Gammaproteobacteria; Enterobacterales; Enterobacteriaceae. RNAcentral also lists the same sequence under 1 other name.
GGGUUGUGAGGUUAAGCGACUAAGCGUACACGGUGGAUGCCCUGGCAGUCAGAGGCGAUGAAGGACGUGCUAAUCUGCGAUAAGCGUCGGUAAGGUGAUAUGAACCGUUAUAACCGGCGAUUUCCGAAUGGGGAAACCCAGUGUGAUUCGUCACACUAUCAUUAACUGAAUCCAUAGGUUAAUGAGGCGAACCGGGGGAACUGAAACAUCUAAGUACCCCGAGGAAAAGAAAUCAACCGAGAUUCCCCCAGUAGCGGCGAGCGAACGGGGAGGAGCCCAGAGCCUGAAUCAGUGUGUGUGUUAGUGGAAGCGUCUGGAAAGGCGCGCGAUACAGGGUGACAGCCCCGUACACAAAAAUACACAUAUUGUGAGCUCGAUGAGUAGGGCGGGACACGUGGUAUCCUGUCUGAAUAUGGGGGGACCAUCCUCCAAGGCUAAAUACUCCUGACUGACCGAUAGUGAACCAGUACCGUGAGGGAAAGGCGAAAAGAACCCCGGCGAGGGGAGUGAAAAAGAACCUGAAACCGUGUACGUACAAGCAGUGGGAGCACGCUUAGGCGUGUGACUGCGUACCUUUUGUAUAAUGGGUCAGCGACUUAUAUUCUGUAGCAAGGUUAACCGAAUAGGGGAGCCGAAGGGAAACCGAGUCUUAACUGGGCGUUAAGUUGCAGGGUAUAGACCCGAAACCCGGUGAUCUAGCCAUGGGCAGGUUGAAGGUUGGGUAACACUAACUGGAGGACCGAACCGACUAAUGUUGAAAAAUUAGCGGAUGACUUGUGGCUGGGGGUGAAAGGCCAAUCAAACCGGGAGAUAGCUGGUUCUCCCCGAAAGCUAUUUAGGUAGCGCCUCGUGAAUUCAUCUCCGGGGGUAGAGCACUGUUUCGGCAAGGGGGUCAUCCCGACUUACCAACCCGAUGCAAACUGCGAAUACCGGAGAAUGUUAUCACGGGAGACACACGGCGGGUGCUAACGUCCGUCGUGAAGAGGGAAACAACCCAGACCGCCAGCUAAGGUCCCAAAGUCAUGGUUAAGUGGGAAACGAUGUGGGAAGGCCCAGACAGCCAGGAUGUUGGCUUAGAAGCAGCCAUCAUUUAAAGAAAGCGUAAUAGCUCACUGGUCGAGUCGGCCUGCGCGGAAGAUGUAACGGGGCUAAACCAUGCACCGAAGCUGCGGCAGCGACGCUUAUGCGUUGUUGGGUAGGGGAGCGUUCUGUAAGCCUGUGAAGGUGUGCUGUGAGGCAUGCUGGAGGUAUCAGAAGUGCGAAUGCUGACAUAAGUAACGAUAAAGCGGGUGAAAAGCCCGCUCGCCGGAAGACCAAGGGUUCCUGUCCAACGUUAAUCGGGGCAGGGUGAGUCGACCCCUAAGGCGAGGCCGAAAGGCGUAGUCGAUGGGAAACAGGUUAAUAUUCCUGUACUUGGUGUUACUGCGAAGGGGGGACGGAGAAGGCUAUGUUGGCCGGGCGACGGUUGUCCCGGUUUAAGCGUGUAGGCUGGUUUUCCAGGCAAAUCCGGAAAAUCAAGGCUGAGGCGUGAUGACGAGGCACUACGGUGCUGAAGCAACAAAUGCCCUGCUUCCAGGAAAAGCCUCUAAGCAUCAGGUAACAUCAAAUCGUACCCCAAACCGACACAGGUGGUCAGGUAGAGAAUACCAAGGCGCUUGAGAGAACUCGGGUGAAGGAACUAGGCAAAAUGGUGCCGUAACUUCGGGAGAAGGCACGCUGAUAUGUAGGUGAAGUCCCUUGCGGAUGGAGCUGAAAUCAGUCGAAGAUACCAGCUGGCUGCAACUGUUUAUUAAAAACACAGCACUGUGCAAACACGAAAGUGGACGUAUACGGUGUGACGCCUGCCCGGUGCCGGAAGGUUAAUUGAUGGGGUCAGCGCAAGCGAAGCUCUUGAUCGAAGCCCCGGUAAACGGCGGCCGUAACUAUAACGGUCCUAAGGUAGCGAAAUUCCUUGUCGGGUAAGUUCCGACCUGCACGAAUGGCGUAAUGAUGGCCAGGCUGUCUCCACCCGAGACUCAGUGAAAUUGAACUCGCUGUGAAGAUGCAGUGUACCCGCGGCAAGACGGAAAGACCCCGUGAACCUUUACUAUAGCUUGACACUGAACAUUGAGCCUUGAUGUGUAGGAUAGGUGGGAGGCUUGGAAGUGUGGACGCCAGUCUGCAUGGAGCCGACCUUGAAAUACCACCCUUUAAUGUUUGAUGUUCUAACGUUGACCCGUAAUCCGGGUUGCGGACAGUGUCUGGUGGGUAGUUUGACUGGGGCGGUCUCCUCCUAAAGAGUAACGGAGGAGCACGAAGGUUGGCUAAUCCUGGUCGGACAUCAGGAGGUUAGUGCAAUGGCAUAAGCCAGCUUGACUGCGAGCGUGACGGCGCGAGCAGGUGCGAAAGCAGGUCAUAGUGAUCCGGUGGUUCUGAAUGGAAGGGCCAUCGCUCAACGGAUAAAAGGUACUCCGGGGAUAACAGGCUGAUACCGCCCAAGAGUUCAUAUCGACGGCGGUGUUUGGCACCUCGAUGUCGGCUCAUCACAUCCUGGGGCUGAAGUAGGUCCCAAGGGUAUGGCUGUUCGCCAUUUAAAGUGGUACGCGAGCUGGGUUUAGAACGUCGUGAGACAGUUCGGUCCCUAUCUGCCGUGGGCGCUGGAGAACUGAGGGGGGCUGCUCCUAGUACGAGAGGACCGGAGUGGACGCAUCACUGGUGUUCGGGUUGUCAUGCCAAUGGCACUGCCCGGUAGCUAAAUGCGGAAGAGAUAAGUGCUGAAAGCAUCUAAGCACGAAACUUGCCCCGAGAUGAGUUCUCCCUGACUCCUUGAGAGUCCUGAAGGAACGUUGAAGACGACGACGUUGAUAGGCCGGGUGUGUAAGCGCAGCGAUGCGUUGAGCUAACCGGUACUAAUGAACCGUGAGGCUUAACCUUACAACGCCGAAG